RNAcentral lists this ribosomal RNA (1004 nucleotides) under Gorgasia sp. JAL-2006. Its description in RNAcentral is "partial 16S ribosomal RNA". It matches the Rfam family "Bacterial large subunit ribosomal RNA", at positions 1283 to 2789 of the family's 2925-position model. Lineage: Eukaryota; Metazoa; Chordata; Actinopteri; Anguilliformes; Congridae. The record is from RNAcentral.
UAGAAGAGAUAAUGCUAAAAUUAGUAAUAAGGGAGCACAGACUCCCUCCCCGCGCAUGUGUAAGUCAGACCGGACAAACCACUGAUAAUUAACGGACCCAGACAUGAGGGAAAAACAACAAGCAGAAAAAACCAGAAAACCUUGUUUUACUACAACCGUUAAACCAACACAGGAGCGCCUUAAGGAAAGACUAAAAGAGAGAGAAGGAACUCGGCAAACACAAACCCCGCCUGUUUACCAAAAACAUCGCCUCUUGCAAACAAAGGAUGUAUUAGAGGUCCCGCCUGCCCUGUGACCAUGGUGUUUAACGGCCGCGGUAUCCUGACCGUGCGAAGGUAGCGUAAUCACUUGUCUUUUAAAUGAAGACCUGUAUGAAUGGCAUAACGAGGGUUUAACUGUCUCCUCCCUCCAGUCAAUGAAAUUGAUCUGUCCGUGCAGAAGCGGACAUAAACACAUAAGACGAGAAGACCCUAUGGAGCUUUAGGCUAAAGAACAAGCACGUACAAAACCUCAAACCUUUAAUCCAAAAGAUAAAACAAAGAGGCCCACAAACCUAAGUGCAAAAUGAUCGACAAUGCCUUCGGUUGGGGCGACCACGGGAGAAAAGAAAGCUCCCGCAUGGAAUGGAGGAAACUCCCAAACCAAGAAAAACACUUCUAAGUAACAGAACAUCUGACCAAAAAUGACCCAGGAAGACAUAUCUCUAAACCUGAUCAAUGAACCAAGUUACCCUAGGGAUAACAGCGCAAUCCCCUCCCAGAGUCCAUAUCGACAAGGGGGUUUACGACCUCGAUGUUGGAUCAGGACAUCCUAAUGGUGCAGCCGCUAUUAAGGGUUCGUUUGUUCAACGAUUAAUAGUCCUACGUGAUCUGAGUUCAGACCGGAGUAAUCCAGGUCGGUUUCUAUCUAUGAACGCUACUUCUUCCCAGUACGAAAGGACCGGAAAAAGGGGGCCCAUGCUAAAAGUACGCCCCACCCCAACCUCCUGAAAAAAUAUAAAGAAG